GUGGGGAAUCUUGCGCAAUGGGCGAAAGCCUGACGCAGCCAUGCCGCGUGAAUGAUGAAGGUCUUAGGAUUGUAAUAUUCUUUCACCGGGGACGAUAAUGACGGUAGCCGGAGAAGAAGCUCCGGCUAACUUCGUGCCAGCAGCCGCGGUAAUACGAAGGGGGCUAGCGUUGCUCGGAAUUACUGGGCGUAAAGGGCGCGUAGGCGGACAGCUUAGUCAGAGGUGAAAGCCCAGGGCUCAACCUUGGAAUUGCCUUUGAUACUGGCUGUCUUGAGUUUGGGAGAGGUGAGUGGAACUCCGAGUGUAGAGGUGAAAUUCGUAGAUAUUCGGAAGAACACCAGUGGCGAAGGCGACUCACUGGCCCAAUACUGACGCUGAGGCGCGAAAGCGUGGGGAGCAAACAGGAUUAGAUACCCUGGUAGUCC
Molecule: ribosomal RNA, 425 nt
Filed under: uncultured bacterium
Lineage: Bacteria
Description: partial 16S ribosomal RNA
Rfam family: Bacterial small subunit ribosomal RNA
Source: RNAcentral